This 400-nucleotide ribosomal RNA is filed under the name Stevenia hirtigena. RNAcentral's name for it is "partial small subunit ribosomal RNA". The record is from RNAcentral. Lineage: Eukaryota; Metazoa; Arthropoda; Insecta; Diptera; Rhinophoridae.
UCUGGGAUUAGAUACCCUGUUAUUAUAAAUGUAAUAAAUAAAACUUAGGUAUUAAUAGUUAUGUUCUUUAAACUUAAAAAAUUUGGCGGUAUUUUAGUCUAUUCAGAGGAACCUGUUUUAUAAUCGAUAAUCCACGGUGGACCUUACUUAAAUUUGUAAUCAGUUUAUAUACCGUUGUUAUUAGAAUAUUUUAUAAGAAUGAUAAUUUUCAUAAUUUUUUUAAAAAAGUAUAUCAAAUCAAGGUGUAGCUUAUAUUUAAGUAAAAAUGGGUUACAAUAAAUUUAUUUAAAUGAAUAUAAAUUUGAAAUGUUUAUUGAAGGUGGAUUUGAUAGUAAAAUUAUAUAGAUUAAUAAUUUGAUUUUAGCUCUAAAAUAUGUACAAAUCGCCCGUCACUCUCUGA